CCCUUAGAUGUUCUGGGCCGCACGCGUGCUACACUGAGUGGAUCAGCGGGUCAGGUUGCGCGAAAGUGUUUCCUAAUCUUUAAAUCCGCUCGUGAUGGGGAUUGACGGUUGCAAUUUUCCGUCAUGAACGAGGAAUACCUUGUAAGCGCGGGUCAUCAUCCCGCGCUGAAUACGUCCCGGCCCUUUGUACACACCGCCCGUCGCUCCUACCGAUUGAGUGGUCCGGUGAGGCUUUGGGAUCUGAGCGGAAAGAGCGUUUCGCUGUUUCUGCUCGGAAAACUCAGUCGAACCUUAUCAUUUAGAGGAAGGAGAAGUCGUAACA
This 322-nucleotide ribosomal RNA is filed under the name uncultured eukaryote. RNAcentral's name for it is "partial 18S ribosomal RNA". It matches the Rfam family "Eukaryotic small subunit ribosomal RNA", at positions 1470 to 1796 of the family's 1831-position model. The record is from RNAcentral.